Rhinichthys klamathensis goyatoka is the source of this 713-nucleotide long non-coding RNA. RefSeq lists it as uncharacterized. The record is from RefSeq and is a predicted model, not a curated record. The transcript has 3 exons. Lineage: Eukaryota; Metazoa; Chordata; Actinopteri; Cypriniformes; Leuciscidae.
UCAAGCCCAUCGGCCUGCUGACAGCCUAUCCUUGCAGCUCCCAGCAUGCAGCCGGUUCUAGGCUAUCAGUAGGACAGCUGGAGUGAGAGAUGCUCAUUAUGGGCUUUUGACUGCAGACGCCGGAACCACCGGGAGCAGAUGCGCAGAAUGGCACCGAAGCUGCGGCAGGCCUGUAAUGGAGCCGAGAUGCUGAGCGCAGGUGACACGUGUCCUGUGAACUCAGGGGGUGUAGGAUGGUAUUGGAAGCCUACCGCUGCUGCUCCAGAGAUCUGCCCAGAUCAUAGGCUUCUUUUUAACACGACCCCGACACGACAGGGAAGCCCAAAACUCGCCUCUAAUUGGCAAGCCAUUCAUUUCACAUUCAGAUUGUUGUUUCACUGCAGUUCUGUUCUUUUUCUUACAGAUCUGAAAUGGCAGAAUACUUGGACCUGAACGUAUCCAGUCCUGUUUGAUACUCUAAUUUUGACCACAGAAAAAGGGUUUGACAUCAGUCAGUUGGGACACAAGAUGGACCUGUCAUAGCCGUAGCAAUAACACGCUGGGCUGGCAGAUGCUCCCUCAUUCAUAGUGUCCAGCUCCAUCUGCCCUUGUUUGAUGACACCAGUUAAACGGCAGUUGGACCCAUGGUGCAGUGCCUGAUAACAGGGCCCCAUGACACAGCUCCAUAAUGAAGCCCAUUUCGACCAUUCAUCCUGUGCUAAAUGGCUGUAUAU